GGCGAGAUGGCCGAGCGGUCUAAGGCGCCAGACUAAGGAGUACCCCGUGGUGCUGCGAUAUCUGGUCCGAAAGGGCGUGGGUUCGAAUCCCACUCUCGUCA
This is a transfer RNA of Trametes pubescens, 101 nucleotides long. It matches the Rfam family "tRNA". From Rfam's summary of the family: Transfer RNA (tRNA) molecules are approximately 80 nucleotides in length. Their secondary structure includes four short double-helical elements and three loops (D, anti-codon, and T loops). Lineage: Eukaryota; Fungi; Basidiomycota; Agaricomycetes; Polyporales; Polyporaceae. The record is from Rfam.